RNAcentral lists this ribosomal RNA (335 nucleotides) under uncultured Ruminococcus sp. RNAcentral describes it as "bacterial SSU rRNA". It matches the Rfam family "Bacterial small subunit ribosomal RNA", at positions 1 to 339 of the family's 1533-position model. Lineage: Bacteria; Bacillati; Bacillota; Clostridia; Eubacteriales; Oscillospiraceae. The record is from RNAcentral.
AGUAGUUUGACUCCGUGGCUCAGGACGAACGCUGGCGGCGUGCCUAACACAUGCAAGUCGAACGGAGUUAAGGAGCUUGCUUCUUAACUUAGUGGCGGACGGGUGAGUAACGCGUGAGUAACCUGCCUCUGAGAGGGGAAUAACGUUCUGAAAAGAACGCUAAUACCGCAUAACAUAUAACUGCCGCAUGACAGAUAUAUCAAAGAUUUAUCGCUCGGAGAUGGACUCGCGUCCGAUUAGUUAGUUGGUGAGGUAACGGCUCACCAAGACCGCGAUCGGUAGCCGGACUGAGAGGUUGAACGGCCACAUUGGGACUGAGACACGGCCCAGACUCC